RNAcentral lists this long non-coding RNA (829 nucleotides) under Homo sapiens (human). Its description in RNAcentral is "non-protein coding LINC00871:10". The record is from RNAcentral. Lineage: Eukaryota; Metazoa; Chordata; Mammalia; Primates; Hominidae.
CAUGACUCGCAAAGAGAAGGGAAGAUGGAACUGCCAUUUUGCACGUGUCAAGUUUCAGGUCUUGACGUUGGGAAGUAAAAGAUCAGAGUGCUGGCAGAUUUUGGUGUCUAGUAAAGGACGGCUUUCUAGUGUAUAGAUAACACCUUCUAUCCAUGUCCUCACAUGGUGAAAAAGUGACUGUAAGUUUCCUGAGGCCUCCCCAGAAGCAGAAGCCUGUAUACUCGGCAGAAGUGUACUUCAAUAGGAUGUUGGAAAAGAAGACUUCCACUCUAAUAGGAUGAAAAAAUGAUCAUUUAUUUACAUCAUUCUGAUUUCUUUUAAUUGCUUCACAAUCCACUAUAAAGAAGAUUCGCUCUGACCCUAAAUUUUCUACUUUUUUUCCCACUUUUCUCUCACAUAAAUUAGGUGUUUCAUUCUUUUUCCUCCUUAUUAUUUUAUUUACACCAUUCUGUGUUGAGCACAGAAAGGUGGAAGUAUAUAGCCCUGUUCUCUGUUUUUAAUGCUCUGUAUAUUUUUGUUUCCUUUUCUGUGGAAUCAGUUUUUCAUUAUCCUUAUAGAAUCAGUUUUUCAUUAUCCUUAUAAGGAGAUGCCAUUUUUCUCAAUCUUUCCUUAAAAUCUAACUAACUUCUUUACUAAGUCAUUUCUGUUCCUUAUAGAAUAGUGAAUGUGACUGUUCUUAGUGUAUUGACUGGUCCCUUUACAUCAGCAUUGUAACUUUUAGGUAUUAGUUUACUUUCAUAUGAUUGUUAUUUCAUAUAUCAUUGUGAACAUAUUUUUUUCCAAAAAUAAAAUACAUAUUGACCUAAAAGAAAUUGCAUCUAAAAGAAAA